Molecule: RNase P RNA, 363 nt
Filed under: Taibaiella sp. KBW10
Lineage: Bacteria; Pseudomonadati; Bacteroidota; Chitinophagia; Chitinophagales; Chitinophagaceae
Description: Bacterial RNase P class A
Rfam family: Bacterial RNase P class A
About the family: Ribonuclease P (RNase P) is a ubiquitous endoribonuclease, found in archaea, bacteria and eukarya as well as chloroplasts and mitochondria.
Source: Rfam by way of RNAcentral
CUACAAAUCCGCGCUACCGCUGGAGCUCAGGCUCGGGAGGAAAGUCCGGACAGCACAGUGCAACGCACCACCUAACGGGUGGGUAUGCGGCAACGCAUAACAGCCAGUGCCACAGAAAAUAACCGCUUCUGCUUGCAGAUAGUAAGGGUGAAAAUGUGCGGUAAAAGCGCACGAUAGUAUCAGGCAACUAAUAUUAUGGGUAAACCUUGCGUGCUGAAAUGCCCAAUAGGCAAGCGCUUAGGACUGCACGUCCAAUGCUUGCGGGUAGGCAGAUACAGUCUUGCAGCGAUGUAAGGCGUAGAUAAAUGGUAGCGGCUUCUCUUCGGAGAAGUACAAAAUCCGGCUUACAGGAUUUGUAGUUUU